RNAcentral lists this long non-coding RNA (260 nucleotides) under Gopherus agassizii (Agassiz's desert tortoise). Its description in RNAcentral is "lncRNA (ENSGAGG00000017928.1)". Lineage: Eukaryota; Metazoa; Chordata; Testudines; Testudinidae. The record is from RNAcentral.
UUGAUUGUCAACACUCAAGAGUGACCUGGAGCAGAGACAGUGGUGCUGUUCUUGAGAAGGCUUCUCGGGGCAUAGCAGUCCACAGCACACCCAAUGAGACACAGUAUUGAGAUGGAAAUUCCAGUCUGAGGAGGGUGUGAGUCAUGAGUUGCUGACUCAUGAGACAGAGAGAUGCUGAAGUUUAGCCAGGUAAGAAUGCCCCUUGUCUUGCAAACACUGUGAAGCAUGUGUGUAUUUGUGUUUGCAGGAUCGGGGUUUAA